Molecule: non-coding RNA, 197 nt
Filed under: Mammaliicoccus lentus
Lineage: Bacteria; Bacillati; Bacillota; Bacilli; Caryophanales; Staphylococcaceae
Description: glmS glucosamine-6-phosphate activated ribozyme
Rfam family: glmS glucosamine-6-phosphate activated ribozyme aptamer
About the family: This entry contains a glucosamine-6-phosphate activated ribozyme that is found in the mRNA for GlmS.
Source: RNAcentral
AACUUAUAGCGCCUGAACAAAAGGGAAUUAUGACUAAAGAUGCGUGUAUAUUCAGAUACAUGUUGAAUGAAUAAUUUCGCUUUUGUUGACGAGGAGGAUGGUUAUCGAAUUAUCGGCGGAUGCUAUCCCGGAUGUGGCUCAUUCGAAAGUUCAAUGGUUAAAGCAUAUGGGUGACUGUAUGUCCAAAGUCAUUGAAA